This 260-nucleotide long non-coding RNA is filed under the name Lathyrus oleraceus (garden pea). RNAcentral's name for it is "Pisum sativum (pea) long non-coding RNA (PSAT_LNC009297)". The record is from RNAcentral. Lineage: Eukaryota; Viridiplantae; Streptophyta; Magnoliopsida; Fabales; Fabaceae.
GACAACGAUGAUCCAUUGAGUGAUUAUGACCAACUCUAACAUGAAUUAUUUGGAAAUUGAGUUAAUUUUCAUUAUGUUUUUCUUAUAAGUUUUCAAUUGUUAUUUGCUAGUGUUUUGAAUGUUAUGGUUUUUUGAAUUGUCUUGAAUUAGUUAAUGAAUAUUAUCCAAUGAGAUUUCAGUUUUUUAAAGUAAUUUUAGUGUUAUUUGAAUUUUAUUUUUAUAUUAUAUAGUGGCAUAUGCAUAUUAUUAAUCUAUAUGCA